RNAcentral lists this ribosomal RNA (475 nucleotides) under uncultured bacterium. RNAcentral's name for it is "bacterial SSU rRNA". It matches the Rfam family "Bacterial small subunit ribosomal RNA", at positions 335 to 798 of the family's 1533-position model. The record is from RNAcentral.
ACUCCUACGGGAGGCAGCAGUGGGGAAUAUUGCACAAUGGGCGCAAGCCUGAUGCAGCCAUGCCGCGUGUAUGAAGAAGGGCCUUCGGGUUGUAAAGUACUUUUCAGCAGUGAGGAAGGUGGGUAUGUUAAUAGCAUAUUUCAUUUUGACGUUAGCUGCAGAAGAAGCACCGGCUAACUCCGUGCCAGCAGCCGCGGUAAUACGGAGGGUGCGAGCGUUAAUCGGAAUUACUGGGCGUAAAGCGCAUGCAGGUGGUUUUGUUAAGUCAGAUGUGAAAGCCCGGGGCUCAACCUCGGAAUUGCAUUUGAAACUGGCAAACUAGAGUACUGUAGAGGGGGGUGAAUUUCAGGUGUAGCGGUGAAAUGCGUAGAGAUCUGAAGGAAUACCGGUGCGAAGGCGGCCCCCUGGACAGAUACUGACACUCAGAUGCGAAAGGCGUGGGGAGCAAACAGGAUUAGAUACCCUUGUAGGCUCU